RNAcentral lists this long non-coding RNA (319 nucleotides) under Rosa chinensis. RNAcentral describes it as "sRNA RchiOBHm_Chr7g0213651". The record is from RNAcentral. Lineage: Eukaryota; Viridiplantae; Streptophyta; Magnoliopsida; Rosales; Rosaceae.
UCCUCCUCUCUCUGACUCUCUCUCUCUCUCGCUACAGCUCUCUGCUCUUAUCGAUCUUCUCUUCCAUGGCCACCCCGACCUCUACCACCUCUCUUAUUUCCUCUAUUAAUCACUCUAUAACGAUAUGGUGGUGGUGGAAUCACUGGGAUGGCUGACGGAGUCGACCAUAAUGCCAAGAAGCACCGCGCGACGGCGUCGGAGCCUCUUCGAUCAUGGAGCUCAAAGCCUAGCUUUACCAGUCUCAAGAAGAUUCCAAGAAGUACAAAGACCUCGCAGACCCCGACGCCGAGUUCCACCGCGCUAAGUAGAAGAUCACCGC